RNAcentral lists this ribosomal RNA (464 nucleotides) under uncultured bacterium. RNAcentral's name for it is "partial 16S ribosomal RNA". It matches the Rfam family "Bacterial small subunit ribosomal RNA", at positions 29 to 507 of the family's 1533-position model. The record is from RNAcentral.
ACGAACGCUGGCGGCGUGCUUCACACAUGCAAGUCGAACGGAAAGGCCCCUUUGGGGGUACUCGAGUGGCGAACGGGUGAGUAACACGUGAGUAACCUGCCCUUGACUUCGGGAUAACUUCAGGAAACUGGGGCUAAUACCGGAUAGGAAUCCUUGCUGCAUGGUGGGGGUUGGAAAGCUUCGGCGGUUUUGGAUGGACUCGCGGCUUAUCAGCUUGUUGGUGGGGUAGUGGCUUACCAAGGCUUUGACGGGUAGCCGGCCUGAGAGGGCGACCGGCCACAUUGGGACUGAGAAACGGCCCAGACUCCUACGGGAGGCAGCAGUGGGGAAUAUUGCACAAUGGGCGGAAGCCUGAUGCAGCAACGCCGCGUGCGGGAUGACGGCCUUCGGGUUGUAAACCGCGUUCAGCAGGGGCGAAGCUUGUGGUGACGGUACCUGCAGAAGAAGCACCGGCUAACUACGUG